GAAGGGCCCUUUAGUACGAGAGGAACGAGGGCUCGGNGCCACUAGUNUACCAGUUGUCUGACAAGGCAANGCUGGGUAGCCACGCNCUANNNGGAUAAGAGCUGAAAGCAUCUAAGCUCGAAGCCACCCCAAAAACGAGACA
RNAcentral lists this ribosomal RNA (142 nucleotides) under Methanobacteriota archaeon. RNAcentral describes it as "Euryarchaeota archaeon partial 23S ribosomal RNA". It matches the Rfam family "Archaeal large subunit ribosomal RNA", at positions 2738 to 2878 of the family's 2987-position model. Lineage: Archaea; Methanobacteriati; Methanobacteriota. The record is from RNAcentral.